GCCUCCAUACCUUAGUGGCUAAAGGGUUGGUCUAGUAAACCAGAGGCCAGGAGUUCGAUCCUCCUUGGGGAAG
RNAcentral lists this transfer RNA (73 nucleotides) under Penaeus monodon (black tiger shrimp). RNAcentral describes it as "tRNA-Thr". It matches the Rfam family "tRNA". From Rfam's summary of the family: Transfer RNA (tRNA) molecules are approximately 80 nucleotides in length. Lineage: Eukaryota; Metazoa; Arthropoda; Malacostraca; Decapoda; Penaeidae. The record is from RNAcentral.